GUGCAUUUUCUCGUAUUCACAGACAUUGGACCGCUGAUGAGGGAAAGACAACGAGCGAGACGACGCUGGCGUGCGGUUCUCUAUUCAGGGUGGUGAAAAGAAGGAGGAAUGUCUUCAAUUCAUACAAAAUGUGAAAGGAUGCAGUGAAAUACAGCAACGGAGACUAUUCUGGGAGGACCCAGCAACUCCCAUCCUGGCCCAUUUCCCUGGAUUCGUUUCAGUUCGAUCCUGAAUAGAUCACUGCCCUCUGACCCGUGUUCUUACCGACGUGCUUUUUUUCAGAGAAACUUUCUGACUGGCCAGAAACGUUUCCUCUGUUACUCAUCACAGCAAAAACUCUGUUAGAGUAAUGUUUCAGUAGGUCUUCUGUUACCCAUAUACCGGAGUUUUGUUAUUAAUGGGAAGGUAGUGCUUAAUUAGGAAAAAAAAAAAUCAGCAGGGCAUAUGAACUGAUGAUAGAAAUAAAGAUAAAGGCAUAAAAUAUGUUGUCAAAA
Odocoileus virginianus texanus is the source of this 494-nucleotide non-coding RNA. Lineage: Eukaryota; Metazoa; Chordata; Mammalia; Artiodactyla; Cervidae. The record is from RefSeq and is a predicted model, not a curated record.